CGUUACUCGGAAUCACUGGGCGUAAAGGACACGUAGGCGGGUUGGAAAGUCAGAUGUGAAAUCCUACAGCUUAACUGUAGAACUGCAUUUGAAACUUCCAACCUAGAGUAUGGGAGGGGGAGAUGGAAUUAGUGGUGUAGGGGUAAAAUCCGUAGAUAUCACUAGGAAUACCUAAAGCGAAGGCGAUCUCCUGGAACAUUACUGACGCUAAGGUGUGAAAGCGUGGGGAGCAAACGGGAUUAGAUACCCCGGUAGUCCACGCCCUAAACGAUGAACACUAGUCGUCGGGAUGCUUGUCAUCUCGGUGAUGCACUUAACAGAUUAAGUGUUCCGCCUGGGGAGUACGGUCGCAAGAUUAAAACUCAAAGGAAUAGACGGGGACCCGCACAAGUGGUGGAGCAUGUGGUUUAAUUCGAAGAUACGCGAAGAACCUUACCUAGCCUUGACAUUGAAGAAAUACCCUAGAGAUAGAGUAGUGCCCUUCGGGGAAUCUGAAAACAGGUGCUGCACGGCUGUCGUCAGCUCGUGUCGUGAGAUGUUGGGUUAAGUCCCGCAACGAGCGCAACCCUCGUCAAUAGUUGCCAGCAGGUUAAGCUGGGCACUCUAUUGAGACUGCCUUCGCAAGGAGGAGGAAGGUGAGGACGACGUCAAGUCAUCAUGGCCCUUAUGGCUAGGGCUACACACGUGCUACAAUGGGGCGUACAGAGUGUUGCGAUACCGUGAGGUGGAGCCAAUCACUUAAAGCGUCUCUCAGUUCGGAUUGAAGUCUGCAACUCGACUUCAUGAAGCUGGAAUCACUAGUAACCGUAGAUCAGCAAUGCUACGGUGAAUACGUUCCCGGGUCUUGUACUCACCGCCCGUCACACCAUGGGAGUUGAUUUCGCCCGAAAUUGGGAAGCUAACCUUCGGGAGGCUACCACUUACGGCGGAAUUAGCGACUGGGGUGAAGUCGUAACAAGGUAGCC
Molecule: ribosomal RNA, 965 nt
Filed under: uncultured bacterium
Lineage: Bacteria
Description: bacterial SSU rRNA
Rfam family: Bacterial small subunit ribosomal RNA
Source: RNAcentral